ACGAACGCUGGCGGCGUGCUUAACACAUGCAAGUCGAACGGUGAAGCGCCUUCCUUUUUGGUGGGUGUGGAUGAGUGGCGAACGGGUGAGUAACACGUGAGUAACCUGCCCCCUUCUUCUGGAUAACCGCAUGAAAGUGUGGCUAAUACGGGAUAUUCUGGGUCUGUCGCAUGAUGGGUCUGGGAAAGAUAUUGUUUCGGUGGGGGAUGGGCUCGCGGCCUAUCAGCUUGUUGGUGGGGUGAUGGCCUACCAAGGCGGUGACGGGUAGCCGGCCUGAGAGGGUGGACGGUCACACUGGGACUGAGACACGGCCCAGACUCCGACGGGAGGCAGCAGUGGAGAAUACUGCACAAGGGGCGCAAGGCUGAUGCAGCGACGCCGCGUGGGGGAUGGAGGCCUGCGGGUUGUGAACCUCUUUCGCCAGUGAAGCAGGGCUGCCUCGUUUGUGGGUGGGUUGACGGUAGCUGGAGAAGAAGCGCCGGCUAACUACGUG
Molecule: ribosomal RNA, 493 nt
Filed under: uncultured bacterium
Lineage: Bacteria
Description: partial 16S ribosomal RNA
Rfam family: Bacterial small subunit ribosomal RNA
Source: RNAcentral